RNAcentral lists this unclassified non-coding RNA (409 nucleotides) under Crotalaria emarginella. Its description in RNAcentral is "partial external transcribed spacer". Lineage: Eukaryota; Viridiplantae; Streptophyta; Magnoliopsida; Fabales; Fabaceae. The record is from RNAcentral.
GGUUGUGUUGUUUGGCUCCUUGCUCAUGGUUUUGGAACNUNCGGCAUGCAACCCUUNUCAUGCACGCCUUGUGCCGGUGGGCCUCGGUGUUCACUUGUGGUUCCUGUGUUGCCUACCCAUUUAGCGGUAUCCGUGUGCCGCGAAGACACGUUCCUUCCACGCCCCCUCUUGGAGGUUGUUGGGGGAAUUCUAAUUUGGUGCGUGUUUUGCGUUAGUUGCGCGUUGUAACGGCUCACGUGGCCACACGUGUCUAUUGUUCCCUUGGAUGCGGUGCACGCGGUGAACGUGGGCUGGAGUUUGUGCCUCGUUAAGUGGCUAURMUAUAUCSGUUGCCUUUUCAUGACACUUGCCGUANUGCCGGUCUUGCUAUCCCAUUGGUGGUGGCAACAUUUGCACGUCGUGCAUAGUC